ACCUCUUUGCUUCUCAGCAACUUGUCUGCCCCACCCCAAACCCACACCUCCCAGCCAUGGCCUGGAGCCCUGGCCACACAGACCUGAGACCAUGCAUCUUUUUGACAUAUCCUUCACGGUUCCCAGGGCGUCAUUACUCAGGCAGCAACUGUCUCAGAACCUCAGCGUGUGAUCCCGGCCCCUGCAGCAGCCCCUCUCCCACCCAUGAGGGGCUUCCAGAUGCUCUGUUCAGAUAUUUGGGUUCUGGGUCUGGAUCCUGGUAGCCACCACCCAGGUAGCAAACCCAUUGCUGCAAGGAUGGGUGAUGUAUGUCUCACUCACCUUGUUUCUCAUCUCCCUGGUGUUCCUGUUGUCUUCCUUGUUUGGAUUUGAAUCCUGGAGAGUUCUG
RNAcentral lists this long non-coding RNA (388 nucleotides) under Homo sapiens (human). RNAcentral's name for it is "non-protein coding lnc-EIF2AK3-4:80". Lineage: Eukaryota; Metazoa; Chordata; Mammalia; Primates; Hominidae. The record is from RNAcentral.